Molecule: long non-coding RNA, 1601 nt
Filed under: Homo sapiens (human)
Lineage: Eukaryota; Metazoa; Chordata; Mammalia; Primates; Hominidae
Description: HSALNT0335383
Source: RNAcentral
AGAGAAGUUUAUUAUUAGUAAAAGAUGAAGUGAGCUAGAAGCAGAAAUGGGACGGAGAGUAUGGGUGGGCAACGGCCAAAUCCAAACACCAAGAGGGGUACUUAUUUGGCUGCGUUCCUCUAUAGUUUAAUCUGGGAAGGAGCCAUAGCCUAAUUGGAGACCGUGAACAUCAGCCUACGCUGAGUCACCAGGCAGCGCCGCACAAAUGGGCUAGGGCUUCCCCUUUCCGCGAUUCCUGUCCCUACUCUUUCCCACUCUCUUUCUUCUCUUUGCACAUACUUUUCUUCUCGCCUCUCCUUCGGAUCUGCGUUAAUGAAAAUAUUUUAUCUUGUACAAGUUUAUAAAGCCUACGGUAGUAAAUUCAGGCGUCCCAGGGCUCAAGGACUGCACUCUUGCGGAUUUCUCUGCCGGGUCUGGUGCUGCAGAUGCAAACCCAGGCCCCGUGAACAAAGCGAUCCGGAGCUGCAAUUCCUCCCUGCUCACUCCUGUGGCUGACUUGCACGCACAGACAUCGCCUCCCCACUUGUUGGCGACUGUUUUCCAUUCUUCCCCCAACAAUUCGUCCUUCUCAAUUCCGAUUAGCUGAGACUGAAGCCCUCUACAAAGGACCUGUGCAGCCCACGGAACAACUCCGCAGUUCUCAGGUAGAAGAAUCAGAAUCAGGUCUGAGCCCGCGGAGUAUCUCUUUAAGCGCUGAUUUUUUAAAAUCAAUGAUCGUUUCUCAUUGGGGCUCCAGGGAGGUGCUCGGUUUCUGGAGUGUCAAAUGAGAGUAUACUCCCAGGCUUGUUAUACUGAAAAGGACAUCAGGCCAUCUAUUGGCAAAUAAUUACUCACAACACGGGAGGUACCUGUCAGCAGGGCGUGCUGUAUAUUGAAUUCCCUAUACGAAGAAGCAGAGAUAUCAAUUGAGGAAAGCCAGCUUGGGGAUGAUAUAAAAACCAUCAGAUUAAGAUCUGGACCAUGCAAAUGUCAAAAACACACCAAUUAAACUUGCUUUUGAGAAAAAAUUCCAAGUGCUUGCUGAUUUAUUUUCCAUCAAAAUAUUCAAUUUAUUUCAUUUAACACGUUUGAAACCACAUUUUGAUUGCAAUAAUAAUGUAAUACUACAUACUCAGUAUUAUCAAUGGAUAUCAAGUACUAUCAACUACCAAAACAUCUUCCCUUCACCUUCAAAGUGAUUAAAAAAAAAUCACUCUAAUUUUCUACCUGUAGCACCCUGUUAUCUUUAAAUUUACAUUUAAUUUUGUAGAUUUUAAGAGUCAGAGCUCUCUUGUUUCAGUUUAUUUGGAGAAAUUUGUGAAGCAAGUUAUCUAAAUGGUCUUGGUCAAAAAUGGGUUCAAACAAAUAAAUACCCUGAAAGUAGGCAGGUGCCUACAGGUAAGUUCGCUGUGAGUUCGCUUCAAGAAAACCAUCUUUAGAUUUCCAUCGUGGAGGCAUAGGGAAACACUCAAGAUUGGUCUCCACUUUGUUGUAGAAGAAUGAAACGGAUUUGAGGGGAGAAUAAUGUAAAAUUACAGCAAAUGUUCCCUACCCAGGCAGAAGUUUUAUUUGGUUGUGUUUUGAAUUUCCCCUUUGCGAUCAAUCGAGUGGUCGCCAGUAUU